UACAAUUUACAUUUUAUUUCUUAGUUUUGUCACAGAUCCAACAAGACAAUGGGAAGUGAAUCAGAUUCUAUAUUGCAAAUAAUUAAAACAUUUAUUCUAUCUUCCUUAUGUAGUGUGUGAUUACAACAGUGUAAUUAGAAGCAAAAUAACUAUUUCUAAUAUGCUUAGGGUGCCAAAGGGGUGGUUCAUUAUCAUGAAUCGGUAAAAAGCCAGUCUUGGUUUUCACAUCUUAGAAGUAGUAUGUUUGCUGCCAAUUAAAAAAAAUCUUUUUUAUCUAUAAACAUGGCAAAUUUUACCAAGAAAUCACAGUCAAUAUUUCAUGGAAGGAAAGGAUGUUUCCUUAGGCAAACAAGUUUCUUUUUGGUAGUAUUCUCAACUGCACAUACUGUGAAGUAUAAUUCAUAGUCCAGAGAUUGCAACAACUACUACACUGGUCUCUUGGUAUAUUUAGUAAAGUAAAACAUAUACACACAAAUUUGAGAGGCUGUUUAUCCCUCAAAAUUAACUAAUUUCCUUACCAAACUGAGGAAACUCUAAAGACUAAGUCAUCUUUUCAUAUUAUAAAAAAGUUGGCAGUAAAAUUGGUCAUACCCAUAAGACUCCUGAGAUUCUUUCGUUGGGCAGGUUAACUUAAAGUUAAUACAUCAUUUGUCACACAAAGAAUUUCUAUUAAAAAUUUCAGUCCUACAUCAUUAUGCACCAUCUCACCAUAAUUAAGUAUGUUCUUCAUGGCCGACUAAAGUUAGCAGAGACACACUAAUAAUCAGACAUAUUACUGCUGAGAAUUGUUAAUGCCUCCUUUCAUAAGGACAAGCUGCUGACCAUGCUUAAGCGCACAAUAGUUGUAUCUUCUUUCUGGCUAUCUUUGGAUACCAACAGAUUCACAAAUUAUUGUCCUGCCUGGCACCUGUUCCUUUUAGAGAGCUGUCUCAAAUGGUGUUAGGUGGCUAAGUAUAGACACAUACAAAGAUUUCAUUUUAUUACAUCUUGCUCAGACUGCACACACUAACAGAACAUUAAGCUUGAUGGAAGGUCUCCUCACAGCAAGAGUCAGAAGUAGCUGUUCUGAUUUUUUUAGGUCUUCGUAUCAUUGACCAUAAUGUAUUUCUGGCCUGUAUUUUAGGCAUUUCACAUUGAUAGGGGAUUCCAAACUGCUAGAGAACUGAUUUGUUUCUGGAAUGGACUGUACUCUUUUUCGACUCUUCUCUUGUUCGGUGGGUUAUACAAAAAAACCCCAAGGAGAUUCCUACUUUCGUAGUGAGUUUAAUAUCUCCAAUGCUUUUUCAUUAGACAACAAAUUUUGAAUUUCUCAUUCCUUUUCCAGAUCUGACAGCAAGUGACAGCUCAGUCCAGGACUGAAAUUUGGUAGUAGAAAGGCUCUGGGGGAGCAGAUAGUAUUUUCUGUCCUGUUCUUUGGCAGCAUAUUAGCUUUUACCUCUGCACUGAGUUUUACUUGCAGGGUAAGAGAGGAAUUGCUUUUAAGAUGUUGCUGUUGAGUCUAACUGAAGCCCUGGGCACCCUAGAACAACUGCAGGGCAGCCAGAGGGCUCGCCGGCAUAAAUCCCAUUGAAUUGUUCUGAGCCAGCUGCAGACUUCAGUCAACAUGUGUAUCAAACACCAUGCUUUCUAUCUCUCUAAUUAGAGAUUUUAUAGAGUUCCUGUCAUUCUAGUACCUAAGCAAUUAUGGAGUUACUCCUGCUUCCUAUCAAUGCUGAAUUCAGUCACAUCUGCUGUCAGAAAUUUCUCACAUGAGUGAUUGUACCAUUGGGAUGUACUGCCCCUGAAGGCCUGAAUCUCAUACCCUCCAGGUCACGAUGCCCUGAUUUUUCAGAUUAGUACUUGAUUCACUUUUUUCCUUCUUGUUUUGAUUUUUAAUCUGCACAAUAAAAACAUUCACUGAACCCAAUGCUCAUAAAUUACAUUUUAAAACCAAAUACAUAUAUAAAAAUGUACAUGUAUAAGGAUAGUACUUGCAUACAUUGAGACAAAUAAUUCAAGGGAGAAUUUCAUUGCAAUGUUUUUGGGUAAAAAAGCAUUGUGAUAAUAUGAAAACUUGCAGGUGAAAUAACCAGCCCUGUGUUCAUUCUCAAAGCUCAACACAGCUGAAAAACCAGACAAACAGUAUUAAAAUAAUGUAUGUGAAUGGUUGUGUUAAGUCUAUAAUACAAGUAUCUUUACAGAACUAUAUGUAUGUGCAGUGUUCUUUUGAAAAGUGCUUCAAGCUAGAAGUGCACAUUCUCCGUAACGCUCUUUAAUCUGAAACACUGCAAAUGUUUCACAGAAAAAGCAGUUUCUUCGUACACAAUGAAAAUUUCCUAGAGACAACCAGGCAUAUGUGCUGCUUCAAUUUCAAGUGUCUUCCAGGAUUCUUGUCCAAACAUUAAUAAGUUUUUAAAUGUCAGAUACUGUGUUUGCCAGAUAUAUAUAAAGUUUAACGUGAUUUCUCAAACACACACAAACAACAAAGGGAAUUUUUCUCAUUUCUGCUACUCGCGAAGUGGUGGAUCUUCCCGUUAACAAUGUUUUGAGGGUAGGAAAUGCUUGUUCCAAGAUACGAAGAGAAAUUUCAGGAUUCAGAGAAUAACUACAGGAACAGGCUCCUGCAGAAAGCUUCAGUAUCUGC
This is a long non-coding RNA of Strigops habroptila (Kakapo), 2623 nucleotides long. NCBI's taxonomy places the organism in Eukaryota, Metazoa, Chordata, Aves, Psittaciformes, Psittacidae. The record is from Ensembl.